CCAACUGCUUCGUGUAUAUCAAUCAGAAUGCAUGAUUAAUAAUGACGAACACACAUCACCCAGAACACCUACGUAUCCCUUCACACCUUCCUCCAACAACUCUCCACCGUUGUGAUCUAAGCCCCUUUUCUGUCUUUCGACGAUUUGUCAGUCACCACUGCCGGAGUCACAGUUGCCUUCUGCUCGAUAGCGAUGGUAGGUAAAUACUGGCCGACACUGCACAUAAAUUAAAUUAUAGUGGAUUCUAAGAAUUGACGCGCCGUGUAAAUAACAUACUCCUUCUUUGAUGAGUGCACGGGAAUCGAGGAUGGCGGCGGAGCUGUCAUGUGGGCUGGUUGUCUUAAACGACUGCUAAUCCCGUGAGAGCGGAGGAGGAUCGAACCCGAUGCUGCUGCAGCUCGGAAGUCGACGGAGACCUUCGCCCGUGCCACGAAAGAAAGAAAGUCGAUUCGAUCCACCUCGGGCAGGCAUCCACGAUUUGGAGUCGAUGCAGAAAGGCAAUAUACAAUUAUCUGUGCUUCAACUGUUUGUCAAUAUAGCACUGAGAGUUCCUAUUCUAGUUUCUUUACUAUAUCGUUUUGUUUCUGCUGAUCCUCGUCGUAUGAUAUCUCCAUCCAUAGGCGUGCAGUUUCUGUAUUCUGAUGGUAGUUAUAAGGUGGUUUCAAUAACUACCUCAUGAUCUAGUAGUUAUAGGGUGAUUGUCACUAGGUCCUAUAAAUAGGACCGUAGUUCAUGUAUAUAGAGAUAGAGAAAAUAAAGAGUCUGUGUGCAUUUGGUAUCUUGUAAGUGUUCUUAUCAAUUCUCAUGUUUUUAAUACUAUAUCAGUUUUCUUGAGUCAAAAUGAUUCUUUUUACU
Long non-coding RNA from Musa acuminata AAA Group (dessert banana), 855 nucleotides. RefSeq lists it as uncharacterized. Lineage: Eukaryota; Viridiplantae; Streptophyta; Magnoliopsida; Zingiberales; Musaceae. The transcript has 2 exons. The record is from RefSeq and is a predicted model, not a curated record.